RNAcentral lists this small RNA (57 nucleotides) under Saccharolobus solfataricus P2. RNAcentral describes it as "snoRNA-like RNA". Lineage: Archaea; Thermoproteati; Thermoproteota; Thermoprotei; Sulfolobales; Sulfolobaceae. The record is from RNAcentral.
AUGUGAUGAAUUCACAACAAUAUGAUUAGGUGAAUUAAUGCACCUCAACUGAUACUA